This 102-nucleotide small nuclear RNA is filed under the name Notamacropus eugenii (tammar wallaby). The record is from RNAcentral. Lineage: Eukaryota; Metazoa; Chordata; Mammalia; Diprotodontia; Macropodidae.
UUGCUUUGGCAGCACUUGCACUAAAAUUGUAAUGAUACAGAGAAGAUGACAUGGCUCCCAUGCAAGGAUGACAUACAAAUUUGUAAAGCAUUCCAUACUUUU